Molecule: ribosomal RNA, 419 nt
Filed under: uncultured bacterium
Lineage: Bacteria
Description: bacterial SSU rRNA
Rfam family: Bacterial small subunit ribosomal RNA
Source: RNAcentral
UGAGGAAUAUUGCACAAUGGGCGCAAGCCUGAUGCAGCGACGCCGCGUGUGGGAUGAAGGGGCUACGCCUCGUAAACCACUGUAGCCCGGGACGAAAAACGCCUUAGAGGCGUUAGACGGUACCGGGAAAGUAAGGGUCGGCUAACUACGUGCCAGCAGCCGCGGUAAUACGUAGGACCCAAGCGUUGUCCGGAUUUACUGGGUGUAAAGGGUGCGCAGGCGGAUGGGUAAGUCAGGGGUGAAAGUCUGCAGCUUAACUGUAGAAUUGCCUUUGGUACUGCUAAUCUUGAGUGUGGGAGAGGUUGAUGGAAUUCCAGGUGUAGCAGUGAAAUGCGUAGAGAUGUGGAGGAACACCGAUUGCGAAGGCAGCCCCCUGGGCCUGUACUGACGCUCAUGCACGAAAGCGUGGGGAGCAAACA